GUACAUUAGGCUCGUCGGUUUGGAGAACUCUUAAAAAAUAAAAAAAGCAUCUUUGAAGGUGUGAUAGCCUUGUUAAUAUAACGUGUUUAACUUACAUUGCCCAUACAGGGAAAAUAAAGCGAGACAGAGAGUUCACCAUCUCCAUCAACGUCAGAAUUGUGUAAGCGACCAAUGCCUCGACAAAGGUAUCCUCGUCUGGGGGAGUGACCGCACUAUAUUUCGCGAUUCCGAACUUCAAGCAUAGUUUGAAAAAGAACCAGGGACAAAUAGUGCGCAAAUGACAUAUCAGGAAAAUGUCUCGAUCUGGCAGCUAUUGAACGGUGUCAAGAUUCAUCAUCAUCCCCUAGCAUUAUCCCGGGGCGCCUGCCAGCCAGGAUGAUGCGCCUAGAAGAGGUCACACCAUCACAGUUGUUAACUGAGUACCUAAAAAUCCUGUCGUCGAGUCCAAAGGUAAUUGGAGCUAUCAACGUCCAGUGGAGGUGCAGUGAGGUGGCGACGGUCCGUGAACUGACUGAUACAUGCUCUAGGGUGGAAUGGUCUGCCAAUAUUAAGAUCUAAGCGGCAUGACAAGAGGUCCAGGUCAGGGUAUUCGAUGAAUGCACGUGAUAAUACUGGAAUUAGAGCGUUUUCCAUCUUCCUUUUUGAUGCGAACUGCAAAGGACUGGAACUGUCUGCUGUCGUCUUUUUUCCGACUCGUUAUAAUCUAGGAGUCUUUAAGGCUAGAGGGAAUAGGCAUUUGCUAGGUAAGCGUGAUCCACCCUAGACCACAUCGUCACUUAACAUCAGGUGAGAUUGUGGCCAAACGCGAGCCUAUUACAUUAAAAAAAAAUCGACGUGCCGCAGCGUUCUUUUUGAGAUCUCGACGCUCUCCAUACACAAGUUACACAUACAUACAUAAACUCACGCCUAUUUCCCACCGGGGUAAGCAGAGACUAUAGAAUUCCAUUUGCUUCGAUCCUGACACACUUCUCUUGCUUCCUCCACAUUCAUCAAUCGCUUCAUACACGCACGCCGGUUCAGAGUAGAUCGUAUUGAACCUUUUCUAAGGACACACAUUACAUACAUACAUAAACUCACGCCCAUUUCCCACCGGGGUAAAGGAAAAGAAAAAAGAAGAAGAAAAAUGGGGGAAGGGGGAGAAAUGUGCCUCGUCGCGCUGGUGGUCGUCGGGAGCAUACGGACACAUUCAGGGUGCCGUGGUGUGGGACUAAUCUUGCCAGUAAACAUUUUCUCCCAAGACUGCUCAGAAUGUAUAACCAAUGUUGGAAGGAGUAUGAUCUUGACAUAUUUCAUAACAGUUUGCUUAAAUUCAAGAAACUUAUUGUGCAAUCAUCUAGUCAUGACCGUUAGUUUAACAGUUUUUUUUUUCUUGUACCUAUUCUUCUUUUUUUUUUGUUGUUGUAGUGUUGCCUGGCUGUAACUAUUCAUACCUUUUGUUAUUCCGUUAAUUUUUUAUUAUUUUUUUUUUUUUUAAACAAAUUCUACAUACAUGUUAAUUACAUAAGUUGUGCACGUCUGUAAUUGGUGCAAACACUAGUACUAGCCUUAAGAAAGUUUUAUUAAUUGUUGUGUGUUUGUACUGUUGAUGUGCCUAAUAAAUAAAUAAAAUAAAAAAUGUGUCAGGAUCGAAGCAAAUGGAA
Molecule: long non-coding RNA, 1640 nt
Filed under: Pectinophora gossypiella (pink bollworm)
Lineage: Eukaryota; Metazoa; Arthropoda; Insecta; Lepidoptera; Gelechiidae
Description: uncharacterized LOC126369353
Source: RNAcentral